CAGCAACUUCCAUGCGUGCAUGCCUCUUCAUUUGUGCGUCAAGGCGUGUGUUGCCUUGCGCACUAGACGGGUUUCCUGUGUUGCGUACCGAAUUGACGGCAUUGUUUGAAUCUAUCGAUGCUUGUUUUCGUUACACGUUGCUUAUGCGACUUGUGAUGAACCUCGAAGCAGUAUCUGUGAUCCACCUUGCUAUUGCCUUUGCAAUGACGAUGUGGCCCAUGGAUUCUUGGUUGGUUUCUUGGAUACGGAUGCUUUUAUUGGUAUGGGGUCUCAUGACCUGAUUAUUACCAUCGUUUGGCGUUCUUGUUGCUUAAAAGAUGACUAGACGUCACGUGUUGGCUUGUCCAUGCGUGGGGUGCUAUGUCGAAG
Molecule: unclassified non-coding RNA, 369 nt
Filed under: Macledium zeyheri
Lineage: Eukaryota; Viridiplantae; Streptophyta; Magnoliopsida; Asterales; Asteraceae
Description: partial miscellaneous RNA
Source: RNAcentral